UGGGGGGAUAUUGCACAAUGGGGGAAACCCUGAUGCAGCGACGCCGCGUGAGCGAUGAAGUAUUUCGGUAUGUAAAGCUCUAUCAGCAGGGAAGAAAAUGGCGUACCUGACUAAGAAGCCCCGGCUAACUACGUGCCAGCAGCCGCGGUAAUACGUAGGGGGCAAGCGUUAUCCGGAUUUACUGGGUGUAAAGGGAGCGUAGACGGCGGUGCAAGUCUGAAGUGAAAGGCAAGGGCUCAACCUUUGGGACUGCUUUGGAAACCUGUGCUGCUAGAGUGUCGGAGAGGCAAGUGGAAUUCCUAGUGUAGCGGUGAAAUGCGUAGAUAUUAGGAGGAACACCAGUGGCGAAGGCGGCUUGCUGGACGAUGACUGACGUUGAGGCUCGAAAGCGUGGGGGAGCAAACAGGAUUAGAUACC
This 417-nucleotide ribosomal RNA is filed under the name uncultured bacterium. Its description in RNAcentral is "bacterial SSU rRNA". It matches the Rfam family "Bacterial small subunit ribosomal RNA", at positions 354 to 786 of the family's 1533-position model. The record is from RNAcentral.